RNAcentral lists this ribosomal RNA (916 nucleotides) under uncultured bacterium. Its description in RNAcentral is "bacterial SSU rRNA". It matches the Rfam family "Bacterial small subunit ribosomal RNA", at positions 33 to 940 of the family's 1533-position model. The record is from RNAcentral.
ACGCUGGCGGCAGGCUUAACACAUGCAAGUCGAACGGUAACAGGAGAAAGCUUGCUUUCUUGCUGACGAGUGGCGGACGGGUGAGUAAUGCUUGGGAAUCUGGCUUAUGGAGGGGGAUAACGACGGGAAACUGUCGCUAAUACCGCGUAGAGUCGAGAGACGAAAGUGCGGGACCGCAAGGCCGCAUGCCAUAGGAUGAGCCCAAGUGGGAUUAGGUAGUUGGUGGGGUAAUAGCCUACCAAGCCGACGAUCUCUAGCUGGUCUGAGAGGAUGACCAGCCACACCGGGACUGAGACACGGCCCGGACUCCUACGGGAGGCAGCAGUGGGGAAUAUUGCGCAAUGGGGGCAACCCUGACGCAGCCAUGCCGCGUGAAUGAAGAAGGCCUUCGGGUUGUAAAGUUCUUUCGGUAUUGAGGAAGGUUGUUGUGUUAAUAGCACGACAAAUUGACGUUAAAUACAGAAGAAGCACCGGCUAACUCCGUGCCAGCAGCCGCGGUAAUACGGAGGGUGCGAGCGUUAGUCGGAAUAACUGGGCGUAAAGGGCACGCAGGCGGACUUUUAAGUGAGGUGUGAAAUCCCCGGGCUUAACCUGGGAAUUGCAUUUCAGACUGGGAGUCUAGAGUACUUUAGGGAGGGGUAGAAUUCCACGUGUAGCGGUGAAAUGCGUAGAGAUGUGGAGGAAUACCGAAGGCGAAGGCAGCCCCUUGGGAAUGUACUGACGCUCAUGUGCGAAAGCGUGGGGAGCAAACAGGAUUAGAUACCCUGGUAGUCCACGCUGUAAACGCUGUCGAUUUGGGGAUUGGGCUUUAAGCUUGGUGCCCGAAGCUAACGUGAUAAAUCGACCGCCUGGGGAGUACGGCCGCAAGGUUAAAACUCAAAUGAAUUGACGGGGGCCCGCACAAGCGGUGGAGCAU